UAUCAAGCUUGUGCCAUUGUAACUUAUUUAGACUAUGAUGGUUACUUUUCAAGUCCUUUGCACAGAGAUGGCACUGAAACAGAGCAAUGCUGUAUCUGGCAACUCUUGAAAUGACAAAUUGCUAACUACAAAUUGUAGUAAAAUAAUUUGAAGAACUCUGCCCCAGAAAUGAACUGUACUUCUAUUUUUAUUAAAAUUCGUAGUUAGCAAUUCAUUAUUUACACAGCUGCCAGAUACAGCACUGAUCUGUUUCAGUGCCAUUUCUGUGCAAAGGACUUGAAAAGUAACCACCAUUGUCUAAAUAAGUUACAAUGGCACAAUCUUACUGAAGUUUAAUUCUAGCUAAGCUAUCUAGUUCUAAAUUUAGGAUCACAACAUGUGUAGGCAUUUACUAACAUAUCUUUCCAUCUUCAUUUGGAUGCCCCGUUUCAUUAGAAAUAUAACUUUUCCCAAGCUUGGAGUCAUAUUUUAUCUUUCCAUCAAAUAGCUAAAUUUGAAAAGUAAGGAAAACAUCAAAAGAAAGUGUUUCUAAGGAUUGACAUGUUCAUUUGCAAGGAAUCUGUGUUUCUGGUAAUACUCGGAUCUUGCUUAAAAACAAAAAUCAGUGUACACAACAUGAACCUGCAGAGAACUCUGACCUGUCAGAAAUAUGUUUCUGGUCCUGCUUUUAAGAGCUGCUCUUUGCCACUGGGCAUUCAGAAAGUAAAAUACUCACACAAGGCAUUUGUUUAAAAUGUUUCCUACUGAGCCCACAUUAGAAUUGCUUUAGGCCUUUGGCCUUAUUUUGAGAAACAUUUUCUUCCCAUUAUUCUUUGGUCCUCCACUUAAAUAAUAGAAAUGUUAUUAAUGCUAUAAGCAGCAAUUUACAACCUUAUGAAUGCUUCUGAACAAAUUUUAAACACAUGACUCUUAUAGAUCAUCUUCUCUGUUGCCCCAGUAAAGCCUUAUCAUUUGCACCAAUGAUUUAUGCACAAAAGCAGAAUUUUUCUUCAAUGAAGUCAAACUUUAUUCAGGGUGUUAUGUGGUUUUUAAAAUUUUUACGUAGUAAGAUUUACUCUGUGUAUUUUAUGGGGAAUUUCAUUUCAAAAAUUUUAACUAUUCUAUUUUUUUUUUUUGCAAUCUUUUAGUGUAAUGGCAUUUAUUAUAAAAAGUCUUCUCAAAAUGUUUACCAGGAAAAUAAGGCAGUUUACAAUCAGAAUAGUUGACCUUUUGAUAUUCUAAGUCAUAAUUUACUUUGCAUAAGCCUGCGAUCGGUUCUCUUUAUUCAUAUUCAGCCUGAAUUCAAUUUCAAGUACCUGCUUCAGUAAUGCUACAGUUACUUUAUACAUUUGUUUUGUCAUGCAGCAUGCAGCCUUGGUGGUCAUGAUACAACCUGUAUUUGUGUACCACUUUUUUUCUCAUGUUAAAAACCUUUAAUUACAACAUGUAAUUCAAAUCACAGCCAUGAAAAGAUUUUGCAGCCAUAUUGUAAAACCGCCAUGGUGAUCAUACUGCAUUUUCACUAGUUUCAAUCUGGAGUAAACCUAAAGUGAAAUCUGCCAGCUCCAAACCAAGACUCAUGGUGACUUUCAAUUGCUUUCUGCUUCACUCUUCACUCGCUGAAGAUCUGCUGUAUUGGACUGCUUUAAGUAAUGAACAACGUGUGGAUGCAAUAACAACUGGACAUGGUUGUAUAUAAUAUGAAUCUUAAAAAUUCAAUACAUCGUGUGUUGUAAUAGACAUACUUAAUUCACUCAUGUGAAGUAAACAUUCUCUGAAUUUUGGGGCCUGCAAUCUUUUGUUGCUUCUGUGUGAACCAUCAUGGUUCCUAACUGCCGUUAUGUUUUGGCCACAACUGUCUCCUAAGUCUUCAAUUAAUACUUGAUUUAAUGGAAACUCUGUGAAGCCCAGCCUCCAAGGGAUUGUAACUUGGGUGAAAAAUUCAUGGGAUAAAGUCACUGACAGCUGUGUUUCCUAUGCCCUGUGAGCAGGCUACAUGGAUGAGAUGUGCACAUUUUAAGAGAGCUCUACUGCUGGACCUGAGAGGCUGGGGCCAAUAUUUCCAUAGAAAUGGAAUUUCAAGACAUUCAGUCCAUAAUGUGGGGUUUGGAGAACUAUAAUAGUGUUCUAGAAAAAGGUGACAAGACUGUAUUUGAACAAAUACGGAUUUUUGUAUAUGAAAAAAAUAAGAUUACCCUGAAAAAUAAGUCCUGGUGCAUCUUUUGGAGCAAAAUUUAAAGUAAGAGCUGGUCUUAUUUUCAGGGAAUAAUAUUUUUGAACUCUAGUUCACCCAACAGGGUCAUCAUGGGCAGCUGAGUUACUGCACCUGAAUGAAUAAUAUUUUCAUGGUAUGAGAUGACCCAAGAUAGCUUGGGCAGGGCAUAUGAAUGAGUACCCUCUACAGUGGUCAAGCAAAUGGCAGACGUGCAGGCCCUUUAACAUCUGCUUUCUGCCACCUUCUCUCUUCCAAUAGUCAUGACUGAUGUCUGAGUGUUCACUGUGGGAGCAGCACUUUGGGUGCAGUAACUCAGCUGUCUAUGGUGACCCUAUUGGUGAGCUAGAGUUUGAUUCUUUUGUCCCUCAAAGGCCACCAGCUUGGUGCUACUAGGAGGUGGUGGAGCCCUCAGGAGUUGGAAUCUAGUGAAAGGUCUCCAGUCACUGGGCAGAACCCCCUGAAGGGGACAGCAGGAUCUCACGCCCUUCUUCUUCUCUUCCCAGCCAUGAGAGAGAACAGGCCCAGCUGCAGGCGUGCAUGCCAGUGCAGGCGGCACCAGCAAGAACAGACUGGGAAACGGGUGCGCACUCCUGCAGGCAGGACCUGUGGCGGGAGCAGGCUGAAGCAGGAGGGAGAAUAUGAAGCAGCCGCUGGUCAUCAGAAGCCCUCACAGAUGACCUUGUUGAUUUCCCAUCACAACGUAUUGCAGCACUUCUGACUGAUGACUUCCAAGCUGCCUGCUGGAAAGACUGAAAAGCUCUGCACAAUGUCUUGCACAAACUGACUACAAGAAAAAAAUCCACAAAUUUCUUAGAGCUUCUGCAUCCUAUAAAAUGUGGACCCUUGAGUUCACUUAAACAAUGAUGCUUACUCAGGGCUGCCUACUCCUUUUUUAUCUUCAUGCUCUAAUAGCUGCUGUCCUUGCGAUUAAGAAACCUGACAAGCUCAUCUUAGUCCAAGCCCUCACUGUCCAGGUGCCUCAUGCUGUACUGGACAUCCCAGUCCUGACAUGUGUCUGCCCACCACGCUUGGCCCACCAGAUUGUGCCUAAAAUCUGACUCCCCCUGAUGGAUGCUGAGGAGACCCUACUUAUGAAUGAAUGCAAGUGGCUCUGUCACGACAAGUUAGAGAUGCUGUAGUCACCUUGGAUGAAGUUAUUUUGGCCAAAACUCUCCUACUACUGCUUCCUGCUGCUGUUUGGAAACCUGCUACCAAAAUAUUACAUGAAACUCCAUUAGAAUGUACAAUCUUAUGUCUUAUUGUAUCCUCUAAAAUAAAUUUCACAAAGUGAAUGAAACAUAAUGAAGAAAUGUUCAGAUAAAACAGAAAAUAAAAUGAAAUAGUGUUUAAACUGUUUACUUCGUUAUACACAGUUGUGCCUCUGCUUUGUACAUAAGACACACAGACGCUUUGCUUUUCCUAUUCUCACAGGCAUUUUCACAUCUUGAAAACAUGGUUCUGUUUGCAUGCCUGCCUCCCAAUCCUUCUUACCUUUUUGGACCACGGAAAUCUAAUUGAAAUAUUCUCAUCCCUCAUUUCAGUGUUUUAUUUUUGCAUACUCUGUACUAAAUUGUCUGACUGCAAAUCCAUUCUUUGCUGUGGCCUGUGUCGCAUCCUCUUAUUCUUGCUGAUAAGUAUUCAAUUAAUGCAUAGGAAUGAAUAAUAUUGAACUGUUCUUACUGAUAUUUUUAGUUAUCAAAAUCGUUUAAAUACAUUAAAAUACAUAUCAAAACCUUCAUUCUUUGAAAACUAGUUUUAUAACACCUUUGUUGUGUUUUUCAUGUGCUGUUAGCUUUAUGAGCAAAUUCAUAAGCAAUAAUGUUUGUGUUACAGUGUCUGCAGUGGUGGGAAAACUGACAGCAAAUCGUGAAAGACUCCUUCCAUCACACACUUGCAUUUCACAAUGAGCAACUGAAACGGUUAAUAUUCGGAACUGUAAUUACAGGAUUAUUAGCUAGAAGUAAAGUAAACCUUGAUUAAAAGAAGCUUGGACUAUGUAUUCCUCUAAUGAUUCUCCCACCUAUAAUAUACAGGGGCUACAACUGUGUCAGUUCUUGCCAACAUAUUACAGGGACAUAAUUACAUUGGCUUGUAGCUGUUAUAGUGCAUGUGAAUGGAUCUGUUUGGGAGUCUAAUUUGCAGUUCCUUUAUGCUUAAUAAUAUUGAGCAUAUUUUUAUGUCCGUAUUUCCUUUAUGACUGAUAGUACUGAGCAUAUUUUAUGCACAAUUUCUGUACAUGGUCCUAAUUAGGCUGGUUUAUAUGAGUUUUUUUUUCUGUAGUU
Long non-coding RNA from Cavia porcellus (domestic guinea pig), 4476 nucleotides. RefSeq lists it as uncharacterized. The record is from RefSeq and is a predicted model, not a curated record. Lineage: Eukaryota; Metazoa; Chordata; Mammalia; Rodentia; Caviidae. The transcript has 3 exons.